Neofelis nebulosa (Clouded leopard) is the source of this 520-nucleotide non-coding RNA. Lineage: Eukaryota; Metazoa; Chordata; Mammalia; Carnivora; Felidae. The record is from the annotation of a RefSeq genome assembly.
CAGAUGUGCCUCAUUUGCAUGGACGGCCCUCCUCUGGCAGAUAGUGGAGGAGAAAAGGAGGCCUCGGGCAGCCCUGCCAGCUGUGGGGACCAGGAUCUAUAUCACCAUGGCCUGGACUCCUGUCCUCCUCAUGCUCCUCUCCCAUUGUGCAGGUUCCCUGUCCCAGCCUGUGCUGACCCAGCCGCCCACCCUGUCUGCAUCUCCGGGAACAACAGCCAGACUCACCUGCACCCUGAGCAGUGGCUACAAUGUUGGCAGCUACUACAUAAAUUGGUUCCAGCAGAAGCCAGGGAGCCCUCCCCGGUAUCUCCUGUACUACUACUCAGAUUCAAAUAAGCACCAGGGCCCCGGGGUCCCCAGCCGCUUCUCCGGGUCCAAAGAUGCCUCGGCCAAUGCGGGGCUUCUGCUCAUCUCUGGGCCGCAGCCUGAGGACGAGGCUGACUAUUACUGUGCUACAGCUCAUGGCAGUGGGAGCAGCUACCUUUACUCACAGUGUCACAGAUAACGAGGAAGUGAGACA